Molecule: long non-coding RNA, 949 nt
Filed under: Mus musculus (house mouse)
Lineage: Eukaryota; Metazoa; Chordata; Mammalia; Rodentia; Muridae
Description: RIKEN cDNA 3110056K07 gene (3110056K07Rik)
Source: RNAcentral
ACGUUAUUGGAGGAUAGAGGAUUGAGUAAGAGAGCCCAAAAAUUUGAUUGGAGGAGCCGACUCCGGAUGUGCUUGACUGAACACUGAUUGGAGAACAAGGGGUCAGGAAGAGCAGUUCCGCACGAGGAUUGGGCGGUGGCGUGUCCCAUGGAAACGGAAUCCAGAACUGCAGCCAGGGUUUUUCACGGGGGCGGAGCCGGCUCUUCCCCAGGCGCCUGCGCCUAACCGGUUCCCCGGCGCCAUUUUGUCCCGGCAGCAGCAGCCCGCAGCUCUAUCCCAUUUUCUGUGUCUGGAGGGAAGGACGCGGACUCUCUCGGAGUUGUGCUGAAGACAACAGACACCUCCAUGACAACCCAAAGUAUCACAGAGGAAAUGAAAAGCUGUGGACUCAUUCAAAGUUAAUUAAGAUUAGGUAUGACCAUGGAAGACUUGUGUAUGACCAUGGAAGACUUCUAGAGAAUCUUGACUGGUGAUGUGGAAAAAGAGACCCAGAAGAACAAAAAAACAGAGGCUCUGCUAAAGCCUUGCUGUAUAGUACAAGAGAGCACCUUAGUUACAAGGAUGAAAAGAUGGCUUUCUGAAGAGGAACAAGUACUACCAAUCACAAACUAUGAAAGGUGCCAAAGGGUUGACUUCCAACAGGAACUUCAAAGACUAUUUCAGCAACAGACCCUGGAUUGUACCAUACUCAAACUAUUUAAAGGAAUUACUUUCACUUUCCAAUGUAAUAUGGUUCUUAACUGACUUAAAAAAGGAAGACUGCUUCAUAACAGAAGGUAAAUGAAGAGAGAUGAGUCUUGGUAAGAAUGGGAAUAGUAAGAAACAAAAUCCCUUUGUGAGAGAUUAUAGGCACCAUCUUUUAUUAUGAUAGAACCCAGAUUUUUUUCCUUGUUUGUAUUAUCAAAUGCAAAACCUGAAAGAUACUAUUACAUAAAGAACCAUAUUCAGC